GUGGGGAAUAUUGCGCAAUGGGGGAAACCCUGACGCAGCGACGCCGUGUGAGGGAAGAAGGCUUUCGGGUCGUAAACCUCUGUCAGAAAGGAAGAACCUCCCAAGUCCGAAUAGGGCUUGGGACUGACGGUACUUUCAAAGGAAGCACCGGCUAACUCCGUGCCAGCAGCCGCGGUAAUACGGAGGGUGCAAGCGUUAAUCGGAAUCACUGGGCGUAAAGCGCGCGUAGGCCGCUUUGUAAGUAGGACGUGAAAGCCCUCGGCUCAAGCGGGGAACUGCGUUCGAUACUGCGAGGCUUGAGUCCUGGAGAGGGUAGCGGAAUUCCGGGUGUAGGAGUGAAAUCCGUAGAUAUCCGGAGGAACACCGGUGGCGAAGGCGGCCACCUGGACAGGUACUGACGCUGAGGAGCGAAAGCGUGGGGAGCAAACAGGAUUAGAAACCCCGGUAGUCC
This 451-nucleotide ribosomal RNA is filed under the name uncultured bacterium. RNAcentral's name for it is "partial 16S ribosomal RNA". It matches the Rfam family "Bacterial small subunit ribosomal RNA", at positions 354 to 796 of the family's 1533-position model. The record is from RNAcentral.